Molecule: long non-coding RNA, 2502 nt
Organism: Rhododendron vialii
Lineage: Eukaryota; Viridiplantae; Streptophyta; Magnoliopsida; Ericales; Ericaceae
Exons: 2
Source: RefSeq, a predicted model, not a curated record
GGUUUAUUUUCCGAUCGAAACUGUUCAAGUUGCAGAUCUUGUCAAGAAGAAAAACCCUGUUGAAAAUCAUGUUAAUCGAAUUCUAAUUAAUACAUAAUCGGAGAUAAUUUUGGUGAAAUUAUUUUUAUGAAAAUAAAUUUGCCCACACUUGAUAAAUCCCAAUACACUAUUAGUACUACUACGUCGCGGAAUAAAUUCACUCCAACGAGAGGGACGGAGACAGAGAGCCGAAGCCAGUCGUCACCGGAGAAAAGACGCGGUCAAGUCUGUUCUCCGUUAGUUUUCCGAUGUACAGGAAAACAAAGAAGAGAAAAUGGAAUUGCUGCCUUGCGACUGCUAUAACAGGAGCGUCAAGUGGUAUCUGCACUUGCGUUGCGUGGUGUCCAUGUAGUAAUGGGCGUAAAUAUGGCUUCUGGAAAAGAGGUCAAAGAAGCUACAGUUAAGGAAAUCCCAACCGCAAAAUUUGAAGCUAUGGAAUUGGACCUCAAUUCGUUGACAUCUAUGAGGAAGUUUGCAUUGGAGUUCAUUUCAUCGGGUCUUCCUCUGAAUCUCCUCAUGUAGGUCAUGUCAAGGAUAUGAUAGAGUAAACUUUCUCCUCCUUCACUCUCCAUCUCUCUCAUAGUCUCAACUAACCUUUGUAGUUGAAGCUUGAUUUUUGCGAGUAAUUUAGGUGGGUUUGUAGUUGUUCAUGAGCCUAAAGUGCCUUUCUAUAAUUUCAAGAAAACUUUCUUGAUGCAAGAGAAAACUCUAAGAGAGACCUCUAUGUGGCUUUCAGAUGUUACAUUGAAAGAUGUCCAUGUCGGCCUCUUUGCGUCCACUAGUGUGAUUUCUUAGUGUAUUGAAUGCUAGGCAUAUAUCUUCUACGCAAUCAUAGCACUGUUGAAAAACUUAUUAAACCCUCGUGUUAGACAUACCCUUCCCCAAUGUACUUGUUGGAUAAUCCUUUUUUGUCACCAUAAAUUCAAACCCUUCAUUACAGUCUUACCUCAAUCUAGUUGGCAUGCAACAUAGAAAGAAAACCAACAGCGCCCUCCAUUCCUUUCCAUAUCCUAGUUGGGACCGUUGUGACUACUUCAAGAAUGUUUCGAACCCCUCAAGUUCACGUAGCCCUCAAGAUGAAACGGUACCUUUCUUAGGGCAGUAUUCAACUGUUCUUUUCUGGGGUCUUAUUUACUCAGCUCUAUCCUGUCCUCAGUUGCCUGUGUUUCCAAAUUUUUUAGAAUGAGUCAGUUAAAUUUCUGGGGUAAUAACAUAUCCGACCUGCUUGGCCUUUUUAACUUUUAAGCUUAAUUAUGAGCUCAAAGCAAUUCUUUCUUCUUGUUGCAUGUAAUAAAGAAAACAUGGCAACUCCAUUCAUGAUUUCAUUACAGGCGAGAAUGUACAAUUUCCAUGUUUCCAAAACAAGGACUUUAUUAGGGCCGAGAAACUGAACACAUCCUUUGGGUAAGACAAUAUGCUUUUUGUGAAACUGAUAAAAAAAAAGAUCCUUAAAAGUACAACAGGAAAGUCCGAAUCUCCAUAGGACCGAGCUCAACAACAAGAUCAGAAUCGUUGACGGGGCCACCUCUAAUAGCUUCAGGCUCCCCACUGUUGUCCCCUUCAACUUUCCAAGUCAUCUUCUUCAUCUGUGAUUUCUCUUGGUUUGCUGACAAGCUCAUUUCCUUCACCUCCUUUAUCUGAAAAGUUUAACCACCAAGAAAAAGAAGAAAGAGAAGUUUAGAAUCAAGCAGAAUGUAGGAAAAAGAUUGUCAAUGAGAAGUGGGCAUAAAUACCGUUUUUCCAGCAAAAACCUUCUUCAGUUCAACUUUGGCUAAUGUCGAAUACUCGGCAUCCUCGCCAGCCUAAACACAUUUGUUGCAUGAAAGGAGUGGAUUAGAGGAUGAUAGGAAAAAAUGGACAAGAGAAAUGAACGGUGAAGGGGACUGGAAGUCUUUUAUCUCUUAGAUAAGGGCCAGAACAUUUAUAUCUACAAGGCAAAGCCAGCAUUUCUGUCUCAAAAUAUGGGAACAAAGGCUUUCACGGUUUUAUGUCCUUCAUCUUCAUUGUCUGUCACAAAAUAUUAAAAAAGAGAAGAAAAGAAACAAAAAGGGUAUCUAUAAUUAUUCAGGUAAAUUGGCUUAUCUCCUUCCCACAUCAAAUUCUAGUCUCAGACAAUGUAUGAUUAGUUUUACUGCAAUUUUUAAGUUCUUAAAGUUUUCGGCAACAAUGGCAAUGUACAACUUAACGAACCAAAUUUGUAGAACUUUGACUUGAGCAUUAGUCAACAGCUAAAUAUCAAGAGUGCCAUAGCAGACGUAAGUCAAGUACGUUGCCUGGGAAAAGUAGCUUAAAGGAAUCAUAAAACUGACUCUAGAUGUAGAGAUGAGAUACCAAUUGCAUCUACAAACAGCAAUAAAAUCAAUCGAUAGUAGUUGACAAACCCAAAAUAUUUUUACUUUUGAUAUUUCUCAUGAACAUAAGAAAAGGAUCAUGGUAUCAUUAUCACCUCAUACAGAUGUCCCA